GCCAUCCCCGCCGAGCCCCCCCGCCCGAGACCCGACCCCGGCCGCCUGCGCCUAGCCCUGCGCGCCGCCCGCCUCCCCCACCCCACGGCCACGAUCGAGCGACCCUCCUCCCCGACGGCUUGCCUCCCCAUGGAGCUCGCUGCGCCCGUCCCUGCCCCGGUGGGCACCCGCGCGGGCGGCCCGGCGCGUGGCAGCGGGGCCGGCCGGUGGCAGCGGAGGAGGCCACCGCAUCCAUGGCGGCAGCGGGAAGAGGCGCAGCUCGGGCCGGCCGCACCUCUCCCUUCCCAAUCCCCCGCUGCCGGCGGAGUGGUGCAAGGGCUCGGCGUCCACGUACCUCACCGCCGGCGAGAUCUCCGGCCUCGUCGCGCUCGCCGGCCCCUCCGUCGCCUUCGCCGUCAAGGCCAUCGCAGGUAAGCUCCCUCCCGUUGAAGGCGGCGCGACACCCUGCGGGGCGGGCGCGGCGGCCAAGCCGCUUAGUGCGGGCGCCGUCACUGGCAUCCUCCUGCUCCGCCGCCGUCCGAGCAGCGGGACGCCGCCGCUCCCGGGGCCGGAACGAUCUCCAGGGUCCUCAACGUCAUGGCGAUGGAGAAGGAAGCGAUGCUGCUCGUCAACAAGUUCAAGCUCGACGAGGCCCUGCCUGUGAAUCCAUAAUGCUGGGCACUUCAAACUUUAUUCAGGAGGACUGGCAUGGAAGAAGCAAGGGGGAGGAAAGAUCAUUGAGGUUGAUAAAGCUGAUAUCACAUCUGUGACAUGGAAGAGAAUUCCUAAAUCCUAUCAGCUUAGUGUUGGGACAAGGGAAGGCCUCUGUUACAGGUUCUUUGGCUUCUGUGAACAGGAUGUUAGCGGCCUUACUAACUUCAUACAAAAGAGCACGGGGAUCACACCAGAGGAGAAGCAGCUUUCCAUUAGUGGGCAUAACUGGGUGGAAUUGCAAUAAAUGCAAUGCAACGGUAGAUGAGAGCUCAUGCAAUUCCCAAACGCAUUUUUAAGCCAUCAUUGUAUAGCAUUGAGAGGAGACAAGGUGGUCACACUGACCUUUGCAGAGGGGAUCAAGUGGCUGUCCGGUGGCAGAUUAGAUGUAGCAGGACCAGUGCAAAAAUAGGUGCGACUGGAUCAAUCCUUCGUUAUUUUUGAAAUCCUUAACUUCCAUGAUUCAUUACUGUUUCUACUGAUCCAAUGAUUACUUUCUCCCCCUGUGUGAUUCAAUAUUUGAACCAAAAAAAAUCUAUUACUAACUCUGAAACAAAUUAGAUGUACCGUCAGUCACCCAGACUUUGUUCCACUGAUAUAUAUAUAUAUAUUUUUUUGGAAUUAGCUUCUUCAUUCAUUCAUCGAAAUGAUCACAAUCAUCUUGCAGAACUUGCAAAAGGAAGUUAGGAGGGGCAUUUGCCCAAACGUCAAAAGCAUGCUCAGCAAAACUAGCACAUACAUGGGCUGCCUUAUUAGCCGAUCGCCUAGCAUGCACUACAUUGAAAGAGGAGAACGAUGAGGACAUCUCUUGGAUAUCACUGAAAAUCGGUGUAAACUCCAACCUCUGAUAGUUGGCACCUGCAGAAACUAACUCCAUAUUGUUAUGUUUCGUUGACUUCCUAUUGCACGCAAAAACUAGGCUUUGAUUGCAAUAUCUGCCCUGGACAUGUAUUGCAAUGUUAUUCUAGAAAGUAUUCCCUUGAGCUCAUGUCUUUCUUCAUCGUUGAGCUGAGCAAGCAUUCCAGUAGUUGCUCUUGCUCAUCUAUGUUCAGUAGAAUAAAAUGCUGGAAGUCUAUGCUUAUCCCAAAAUUAUGAUGGAACAAUAUUUACAUGUGUAUGAGUUGCCACACACUUCCGGGCAGUUAUCCUCUUCCAUUAGUUUAGUUAUUUUAAUUUAGAGGAUUUUAUGUGAUGCCGCUUUAAUCAUUUUGUAGUAUCACUACUACCUUGAUUAUUAAUGUAAGUAAUAUCACCCUUGUGAAUUUAUGAUUCUACCUUAAUUGGAGUUUUCGUUUUAGACUGAGAAUAAUACAUGGAACUGUGCAUUCGCUAUAAAAAAGAGAUCAUGUAUAUGAUCUUGAUCAAUAUUGAGCUUGCAGUAGAAGUGUUUUAAGUUGAAUUUCUUAUGUGCCUGAUCCUUGGUUUGCAUUUUUGAGUAGAUUUAAAGGAGGAGAAUGCAUUUAGGCAUUGGUUGAUGUGGAAGCUUGGACAUUGGUCUCACAUGUAAGCAGCUAGGCCUGGGCAUUCGGGUAUUUCGGGAGAUUCGGGUAAUGAAAAGUGCUACCCGAAAUUUACUCAAAAAAAUGAAUACCCGAAAAUUCGGGUUCGGAUAUCGGGUAAUCCCGAUUACCCGAUAUACCUAACCAGCAGUCAGCGACCCUGGGCACUGCGGUGUGGCGUGCUGCAUGUCGGCCGGUAAGGGCGCGACUGCCGACGAGGGGCGGCAGGCGGCCGAGGCUGGCGAUGCGAGUGCGACGGCCGACGAGGGGCGCAGGGGCGGCAGGUGGCCGGGGCUUGCGACGCAGGCACGGAGGCCGACGAGGGGCUCAGGGGCGGCGUGGCUUGAGCGGCGGGGGUCUGCAUGCCGCAGUGCAGCCCGUAGGAUCCUGGGACCUGGGUGGCGGCUUGCAAGGGCAAGCGGUGGGCGGUGGGCAGCAGAUGUUAGUGGUGGUCUGACGGGCGGCGUGGUGGCUGGGAAAGUGGGAAUUGGGAUCUCGGGUCAGGGAGGGAGAUGCCGAUGGGGUUGGAGUCAGGCGAACGAGGAUGAAUUGAUGAUGGUCUAGCGUUAGAAGAUUUGUGGGUUGCUAGGAUGGGGCUGUCCACUUCUAUUCAUCUUGGGCCUUUAUAGAAUUUCGGGUAUUUCGGGUAAUUCGGGUACCGGAGAUAUAUACCCGAAUUACCCGAAAUAAAUUCGGGUUUUUCAAAGUUGUACCCGAAAUAGGAAUUGGGUAUUUCGGGUUCGGGUAUUUUGGGUUCGGGUUCGGGUAUUUCGGGUUUGGGGUUCGGGUUCGGGAAAUUGUGCCCAGGGCUAUAAGCAGCCCUAUAUCUUAAUGGCACAAUCCAUAUCAAUCAUAAAAUCCAUAUAGCUUCUCUGCUGGUAGCUGGGUCAUGAAAUUUUAGUUUCUGUAUAAGCCCUGUUAUCAUAAAUCAUCUAACGAUUAUCUCACAUGUCAGUUAAAGUUUAGUGUCCAUCUUGUAGCUUAGAACUUCUGUUCAGAUGUGGAGUACAUCUUCGUUAUUUUAAACAGGAACACAAUAGCCUUCAGAGUAUCAAGCCUCUUAUGGCCAUAUGCGUACAUGACACGUGUCAUACAAAUUAAGGACAAUAGCUUCAGAUCAUUCUGAAAUGCACAAAUCCUAUUGGUUAAGUAUAUCUGAACUUAAUUCCUUUGGCUAUUUUCUAUUGCUAUCUUUAAGGGAUCAAUUAUGGUUAUUUUCAACGCUGUAGAAAUUUUGGAGCAAAAUGAUGCAAGCUGAUGUAUUCUUGCGAGUUUUUGGCAUCCACUAGGGAAUGGAACAUUCAUCGAACUGGAGCAGGUGUGGAUAGGCGCGUGGAGGGUCUCAACACUGAUGCAAGCACGUAUCUCAUCGUCAUGUGGACCAUUGCUUCUACACUAUUUCUGAAUAUAAGAAAUUGUUUAAAACAUGUUAUAAAAGCUCAAUGUCGGUGAAAAUAAUUGUGAUAUAGGUUAGGGCUUUUGUUAUUGAAUACACCCUCACGGUAUAUAUGCCUCUUUUGUAUUCUAUAAAAUUAUUAUUUAUUAUUGUAUUUUUGAAGACAUGUGAGUGCCCGCACAUGCCACAAAGUUGUGAUCCUAAACUUUAACAGUUGAAGAGAGCUAUCCUAAAAUAUAAGCUUCACAGGAAGCAAUAUAGGUAUCAAUGCUUGUCUUUUGCCUUUUCUUAUUCUUCAUUUUGCAUUUCUUCUAUUAUCUUAUUUGGUUUAUGUGCAACACUUCUGCUUUUGGGGAGUUGUGCUCUUUUUCCUUUUGUUUUCUGAAAUUAACAGGAUAUAUGCUAUGAGAUUAAGAUUUCUUUUUUCUGGAGUUAUAGAAUAUUAUUUUAUUUUAGGACUUUUUAUUGGCUAUAGAAUAUUUAUUUGACUUUAGGACUUGUUUCUUGUUUUAGAAAUUAUUACUCUUGUUUCAGGCCCUCCAUUGUAGAAUCCUUUUUACAGCACAGCAUGUAACAGUUGUAAAAUAUUCUUGAAUAAAAUAAUAGAUGUGAACUAUAUCAGUGUAUCUUAGAGUCAUAUUUCUCGAGUGUCGUAGCAGUGUGAGACAAGAUUUUCUUAUGGAUCAGCUCUACUUGAAAUAUGUAUAUCUGGAUGGCCGACUACUGUAUUAGGUGUAUGGGUGAUACUAGAACUGAGAAUUUGAUAUGCCAGUGCGCAAGGAAUUUCAGGUACUUUUAGAAUUUUCAACCAUUUUCCUUUUUUGUUUCUUGGAGCAAGCUUACUGGUGUACUUGAUUGAUGUUCAAGUCCUAUUCAAAUGUAGUUGGCAAGCGCCCACUGGUGGCGCAGCAUCCGUGCCACUCUGCACUCAGAGAAGCCUCAUCAUCUACAAGCGAGGGAGCUUCUACGUUAUACAUCGCGUAAAGCUGCUGAACACAUAUAUUGUUUUUUUAAUAAACUAAUGAUCUGUUCUGUUGGAGAUCCAAUGGUACAUUAGAACAUGUCAGAAUGUAUUUUUCAAGGAAUAAAUCCACAACUAAAUAGUAGGUGUAAAUGUAUUCCCUCGCAACUAAAUUUGUGCCUUUCUACCUUUUCGGAUUAAUUCUGAUUACACUCAUUUGUAGUUCUUGCCUACAGUUGCGGAUUUCCAUCAACUGAUUACACUCAUUUGGGGUUUCCAUGUAUGUAGUUAAUACUUUAGAGAAGGUGGUCCUAACCCAAAGUUCAAAUUGACCACUCUUGUUGUAUUUUGCUUGCAUCUAUGACCCAAGAUCUCUGUUAUGAUAUAGUUAGGUAAAGUAUUUGACAUCUCUUUUAGUUCUGUCAAAUUUUCUUGUCAGAUAUGCUAAAAAGUAACUUCU
Long non-coding RNA from Panicum virgatum (switchgrass), 5006 nucleotides. RefSeq lists it as uncharacterized. Lineage: Eukaryota; Viridiplantae; Streptophyta; Magnoliopsida; Poales; Poaceae. The record is from RefSeq and is a predicted model, not a curated record. The transcript is spliced from 7 exons.